GUGAAUCAUCGAAUUUUUGAACGCAAAUUGCACUUUCUGGUAUUCCGGAAAGUAUGCCUGUUUGAGGGUCAGUUAAAUAAAAAUCGGUGUUGUGGCUGCCGUUCGUGUGACGCGUCGUACUUGAGGUGUCUUACCUUCGGUUAAGUGACUUAAAAUUUUGCAUGAGUUUCGAACGUAUUUAAAUGUCUUACGGACGUUGGAGAUAUCGAAUACUUUAUUAGGUUCUGUCAUCC
This 233-nucleotide unclassified non-coding RNA is filed under the name Glomus sp. RNAcentral's name for it is "partial contains 5.8S ribosomal RNA and internal transcribed spacer 2". The stretch from base 1 to 71 matches the Rfam family "5.8S ribosomal RNA", at positions 84 to 154 of the family's 154-position model. Lineage: Eukaryota; Fungi; Glomeromycota; Glomeromycetes; Glomerales; Glomeraceae. The record is from RNAcentral.